This 429-nucleotide ribosomal RNA is filed under the name Actinomycetes bacterium. RNAcentral's name for it is "Actinobacteria bacterium partial 16S ribosomal RNA". It matches the Rfam family "Bacterial small subunit ribosomal RNA", at positions 355 to 776 of the family's 1533-position model. Lineage: Bacteria; Bacillati; Actinomycetota; Actinomycetes. The record is from RNAcentral.
UAGGGAAUCUUCCGCAAUGGGCGAAAGCCUGACGGAGCAACGCCGCGUGAGUGAUGAAGGUCUUCGGAUCGUAAAACUCUGUUAUUAGGGAAGAACAAAUGUGUAAGUAACUAUGCACGUCUUGACGGUACCUAAUCAGAAAGCCACGGCUAACUACGUGCCAGCAGCCGCGGUAAUACGUAGGUGGCAAGCGUUAUACGGAAUUAUUGGGCGUAAAGCGCGCGUAGGCGGUUUUUUAAGUCUGAUGUGAAAGCCCACGGCUCAACCGUGGAGGGUCAUUUGAAACUGGAAAACUUGAGUGCAGAAGAGGAAAGUGGAAUUCCAUGUGUAGCGGUGAAAUGCGCAGAGAUAUGGAGGAACACCAGUGGCGAAGGCGACUUUCUGGUCUGUAACUGACGCUGAUGUGCGAAAGCGUGGGGAUCAAACAGG